RNAcentral lists this ribosomal RNA (411 nucleotides) under uncultured bacterium. RNAcentral describes it as "bacterial SSU rRNA". It matches the Rfam family "Bacterial small subunit ribosomal RNA", at positions 70 to 476 of the family's 1533-position model. The record is from RNAcentral.
CAGCACGGGUCUUGCACCCUGGUGGCGAGUGGCGACCGGGUGGGUAAUACAUCGGAACAUGUCCUGUAGUGGGGAUAGCCCGGCGAAGGCCGGAUUAAUACCGCAUACGAUCUACGGAUGAAAGCGGGGGACCUUCGGGCCUCGCGCUAUAGGGUUGGCCGAUGGCUGAUUAGCUAGUUGGUGGGGUAAAGGCCUACCAAGGCGACGAUCAGUAGCUGGUCUGAGAGGCGACCAAGCCACACUGGGACUGAGACCGGCCCAGACUCCUACGGGAGGCAGCAGUGGGGAAUUUUGGACAAUGGGCGAAGGCCUGAUCCAGCAAUGCCGCGUGUGUGAAGAAGGCCUUCGGGUUGUAAAGCACUUUUGGCCGGAAAGAAAUCCUUGGUUCUAAUAUAGCCGGGGGAUGACGGU